UCGACGAGUUUGAUCAUGGCUCAGAUUGAACGCUGGCGGCAUGCCUAACACAUGCAAGUCGAACGGAGAUAGGGGCAACCUUAUUUCAGUGGCGGACGGGUGAGGAAUGCGUCGGAAUCUGCCCUAUGGUGGGGGAUAACACAGGGAAACUUGUGCUAAUACCGCAUAAUGUCGAGAGACCAAAGCAGGGGACCGCAAGGCCUUGCGCGAUAGGAUGAGCCGACGCCCGAUUAGCUUGUUGGUAGGGUAAUGGCCUACCAAGGCGACGAUCGGUAGCUGGUCUGAGAGGAUGAUCAGCCACACUGGGACUGAGACACGGCCCAGACUCCUACGGGAGGCAGCAGUGGGGAAUAUUGGACAAUGGGCGAAAGCCUGAUCCAGCAAUGCCGCGUGAGUGAUGAAGGCCUUAGGGUUGUAAAGCUCUUUACCAGGGAUGAUAAUGACAGUACCUGGAGAAUAAGCUCCGGCUAACUCCGUG
This 478-nucleotide ribosomal RNA is filed under the name uncultured bacterium. RNAcentral's name for it is "bacterial SSU rRNA". It matches the Rfam family "Bacterial small subunit ribosomal RNA", at positions 1 to 507 of the family's 1533-position model. The record is from RNAcentral.